CACAGUAUAGAGUACAUGCACUAAGGUCAUCCUCUCCUUUCCUUGUUUCCUUUCACCUACCAUGGUCAAGAGAAAGGUUUUUGAAUCAAUUAUGCUUAAUCCUUUAUGUUAGUUUUAAUGCAACCCCUAGGAGUGACUUGCCCCUUUUCUCUUCUCUAUUUCUUUUUAUUUUCAUCAGCACUUAUUCUUAUCCUUGCCUGAAAAAGUCACUAACCUUUUUACGCGAUUGUGUACAUGGGUGAUACACCCCCGGUUACUCAGUUAGUCACUUGUUCAAGUGGCUACUAGCUCUGUUCAUAGUAUAGACCAUCGAAACUUAUUUGCUUGAAAAAGUUACUGACCUUUUUACGCGAUUGUGUACAUGGGUGAUACACCCCCGGUUACUUAGUCAGUUACUUCUCCAAGUGGCUAUUAGGCUCAGUUCAUAGUCUUAGACCAUUGGAACAAGUUUGUGAUUAGUGCUUUGUGCUGGUUUUUCAUGAUAAUUUGGGCAAAUAAGCUCAUAGGGAGUUACACUAACUUUGUGUUUGCAUGUAUUUGUAUUUUUAUUUCCCUUGACCUUAGCAAAUUUAAGGAUUCAAUUCAAGAGAAAACUCCCUAAGUGAAGGUAACAUACUGUGAAUGAUUCAAUUUAGGCUUAAAGGGGUGGCAAAUCAAUGGGGUCAUGAGAUAAGGGCACUCUUUCAACUUUGUUAUCUAUGUUGAGUAGAGCAAUUAGCUACAAAAUUCUGUGUGUGUGAGCUAGGAGUGUGAAAAAAAAUUCUGGUGUGUGCAAAAAGGGGUGAGAACAAUGCAAAAAGAAACAAAAAGAAACAACAAGAAGCAAAAAGAUGGUGUAAUUAAUGAAUAAAUACUCUCCAGUACCCCCACACCUAUCCCACAUAUUGUCCUCAAUGUGUGAAUAAACAUAUAGAAAAAAUUAAGGAGAAAAGGGAAAG
Molecule: long non-coding RNA, 938 nt
Filed under: Manihot esculenta (cassava)
Lineage: Eukaryota; Viridiplantae; Streptophyta; Magnoliopsida; Malpighiales; Euphorbiaceae
Description: long non-coding RNA (MESC_LNC013021)
Source: RNAcentral